Molecule: ribosomal RNA, 469 nt
Filed under: uncultured bacterium
Lineage: Bacteria
Description: partial 16S ribosomal RNA
Rfam family: Bacterial small subunit ribosomal RNA
Source: RNAcentral
GGACGAACGCUGGCGGCGUGCUUAACACAUGCAAGUCGAACGGAAAGGCCCUGCUUUUGUGGGGUGCUCGAGUGGCGAACGGGUGAGUAACACGUGAGUAACCUGCCCUUGACUUUGGGAUAACUUCAGGAAACUGGGGCUAAUACCGGAUAGGAGCUCCUGCUGCAUGGUGGGGGUUGGAAAGUUUCGGCGGUUGGGGAUGGACUCGCGGCUUAUCAGCUUGUUGGUGGGGUAGUGGCUUACCAAGGCUUUGACGGGUAGCCGGCCUGAGCGGGUGACCGGCCACAGUGGGACUGAGAUACGGCCCAGACUCCUACGGGAGGCAGCAGUGGGGAAUAUUGCACAAUGGGCGGAAGCCUGAUGCAGCAACGCCGCGUGCGGGAUGACGGCCUUCGGGUUGUAAACCGCUUUCGCCUGUGACGAAGCGUGAGUGACGGUAAUGGGUAAAGAAGCACCGGCUAACUACGUG